Molecule: unclassified non-coding RNA, 379 nt
Filed under: plant metagenome
Description: partial contains 5.8S ribosomal RNA, internal transcribed spacer 2, and large subunit ribosomal RNA
Rfam family: 5.8S ribosomal RNA (bases 1-106)
Source: RNAcentral
CGAAAUGCGAUAAGUAAUGUGAAUUGCAGAAUUCAGUGAAUCAUCGAAUCUUUGAACGCACCUUGCGCUCCUUGGUAUUCCUUGGAGCAUGCCUGUUUGAGUAUCAUGAAAUCUUCAAAGUAAAUCUUUUGUUAACUCAAUUGGUUUCUACUUUGGUAUUGGAGGUCUUUGCAGCUUCACACCUGCUCCUCUUUGUUCAUUAGCUGGAACUCAGUGUUAUGCUUGGUUCCACUCGGCGUGAUAAGUUAUCUAUCGCUGAGGACACUGUAAAAGGUGGCCAAGGUAAAUGCAGAUGAACCGCUUCUAAUAGUCCAUUGACUUGGACAAUACUUUUAUGAUCUGAUCUCAAAUCAGGUAGGACUACCCGCUGAACUUAAGC